This 468-nucleotide ribosomal RNA is filed under the name uncultured bacterium. RNAcentral describes it as "partial 16S ribosomal RNA". It matches the Rfam family "Bacterial small subunit ribosomal RNA", at positions 27 to 507 of the family's 1533-position model. The record is from RNAcentral.
GGACGAACGCUGGCGGCGUGCUUAACACAUGCAAGUCGAACGGAAAGGCCUCUUUCGGGGGGUACUCGAGUGGCGAACGGGUGAGUAACACGUGAGUAACCUGCCCUUGACUUUGGGAUAACUUCAGGAAACUGGGGCUAAUACCGGAUAGGAGCUCCUGCUGCAUGGUGGGGGUUGGAAAGUUUCGGCGGUUGGGGAUGGACUCGCGGCUUAUCAGCUUGUUGGUGGGGUAGUGGCUUACCAAGGCUUUGACGGGUAGCCGGCCUGAGAGGGUGACCGGCCACAUUGGGACUGGGAUACGGCCCAGACUCCUACGGGAGGCAGCAGUGGGGAAUAUUGCACAAUGGGUGGAAGCCUGAUGCAGCAACGCCGUGUGCGGGAUGACGGCCUUCGGGUUGUAAACCGCUUUCGCUCAUGACGAAGCUUUGUGUGACGGUAGUGGGUAAAGAAGCACCGGCUAACUACGUG